RNAcentral lists this ribosomal RNA (253 nucleotides) under uncultured bacterium. Its description in RNAcentral is "partial 16S ribosomal RNA". It matches the Rfam family "Bacterial small subunit ribosomal RNA", at positions 524 to 776 of the family's 1533-position model. The record is from RNAcentral.
UACGUAGGUGGCAAGCGUUGUCCGGAUUUACUGGGCGUAAAGGGCGUGCAGGCGGUCUGCUAAGUCUAGGGUGAAAGCUCCCGGCUCAACUGGGAGGGGUCCUUGGAUACUGGCGGACUUGAGGGAGGUAGAGGAGAGUGGAAUUCCCGGUGUAGUGGUGAUAUGCGUAGAUAUCGGGAGGAACACCUGUGGCGAAGGCGGCUUUCUGGGCCCUACCUGACGCUGAGACGCGAAAGCGUGGGGAGCGAACCGG